RNAcentral lists this ribosomal RNA (445 nucleotides) under uncultured bacterium. RNAcentral's name for it is "SSU rRNA". It matches the Rfam family "Bacterial small subunit ribosomal RNA", at positions 26 to 518 of the family's 1533-position model. The record is from RNAcentral.
AGAGCGAACGCUGGCGGCAGGCCUAACACAUGCAAGUCGAGCGCCCGUAGCAAUACGGGAGCGGCAGACGGGAUAGUAACACGUGGGAACGCGCCCUUCGGUUCGGAAUAACUCAGGGAAACUUGAGCUAAUACCGGAUACGCCCUUACGGGGAAAGAUUUAUUGCCGAAGGAACGGCCCGCGUCCGAUUAGCUAGUUGGUGAGGUAAUGGCUCACCAAGGCGACGAUCGGUAGCUGGUCUGAGAGGAUGACCAGCAUCACUGGGACUGAGACACGGCCCAGACUCCUACGGGAGGCAGCAGUGGGGAAUAUUGGACAAUGGGCGCAAGCCUGAUCCAGCCAUGCCGCGUGGAUGAUGAAGGCCUUAGGGUUGUAAAGUCCUUUUAACGGGAAGAUAAUGACGGUACCGUAGAAUAGCCCCGGCUAACUUCGUGCCAGCAGCCGC